Non-coding RNA from Branchiostoma floridae (Florida lancelet), 114 nucleotides. Lineage: Eukaryota; Metazoa; Chordata; Leptocardii; Amphioxiformes; Branchiostomatidae. The record is from Rfam.
GUCGGAUACGGUGAUAUUUACCCAACGACGCUACUCGGGAAAAUCGUGGGCAGCCUGUGUUGUGUGUGCGGCGUGUUGGUGAUCGCAUUACCUAUUCCAAUCAUUGUGAACAAU